GAGUUUGAUCCUGGCUCAGAUUGAACGCUGGCGGAAUGCUUUACACAUGCAAGUCGAGCGGCAGCGCGGGGCAACCUGGCGGCGAGCGGCGAACGGGUGAGUAAUGCAUCGGAACAUGUCCAUGUCGUGGGGGAUAGCCCGGCGAAAGCCGGAUUAAUACCGCAUACGCCCGAGAGGGGAAAGUGGGGGACCGCAAGGCCUCACGCGAUUGGGUUGGCCGAUGUCCGAUUAGCUAGUUGGCGGGGUAAUGGCCCACCAAGGCGAUGAUCGGUAGCUGGUCUGAGAGGAUGAUCAGCCACACUGGGACUGAGACACGGCCCAGACUCCUACGGGAGGCAGCAGUGGGGAAUUUUGGACAAUGGGGGCAACCCUGAUCCAGCCAUUCCGCGUGAGUGAAGAAGGCCUUCGG
RNAcentral lists this ribosomal RNA (409 nucleotides) under uncultured beta proteobacterium. RNAcentral describes it as "bacterial SSU rRNA". It matches the Rfam family "Bacterial small subunit ribosomal RNA", at positions 9 to 421 of the family's 1533-position model. Lineage: Bacteria; Pseudomonadati; Pseudomonadota; Betaproteobacteria. The record is from RNAcentral.